This 840-nucleotide ribosomal RNA is filed under the name Xanthoparmelia coloradoensis. RNAcentral's name for it is "eukaryotic LSU rRNA". It matches the Rfam family "Eukaryotic large subunit ribosomal RNA", at positions 81 to 936 of the family's 3401-position model. Lineage: Eukaryota; Fungi; Ascomycota; Lecanoromycetes; Lecanorales; Parmeliaceae. The record is from RNAcentral.
CAGUAACGGCGAGUGAAGCGGCAACAGCUCAAAUUUGAAAUCUGGCUCCUUCGGGGUCCGAAUUGUAAUUUGUAGAGAGUGCUUCGGGCGAGACCUCGGUCUAAGUCCAUUGGAACAUGGUGUCAUAGAGGGUGAGAAUCCCGUAUGCGACCGUGGCUCGAGCCCAUGUGAAGCCUCUUCGACGAGUCGAGUUGUUUGGGAAUGCAGCUCAAAAUGGGUGGUAAAUUUCAUCUAAAGCUAAAUACUGGCUGGAGACCGAUAGCGCACAAGUAGAGUGAUCGAAAGAUGAAAAGCACUUUGGAAAGAGAGUCAAACAGUACGUGAAAUUGUUGAAAGGGAAGCGCUUGCAACCAGACCUGCCCGUAGGCGAUCAGCCGCUGUUCUCAGCGGUGUACUCGCUCUGCGAUCAGGCCAGCAUCGGUUUCGGCGGUCGGAUAAAGACCUUGGGAAUGUAGCUUCCCUUCGGGGAAGUCUUAUAGCCCUCGGUGUAAUGCGGCCAGCCGGGACCGAGGACCGCGCUUCGGCUAGGAUGCUGGCGUAAUGAUUGUAAGCGACCCGUCUUGAAACACGGACCAAGGAGUCUAACAUCUAUGCGAGUGUUUGGGUGUCAAACCCAUACGCGGAAUGAAAGUGAACGGAGGUGAGAACCCUUAAGGGCGCAUCAUCGACCGAUCCAGAUGUCUUCGGAUGGAUUUGAGUAUGAGCAUAGCUGUUGGGACCCGAAAGAUGGUGAACUAUGCCUGAAUAGGGUGAAGCCAGAGGAAACUCUGGUGGAGGCUCGCAGCGGUUCUGACGUGCAAAUCGAUCGUCAAAUUUGGGUAUAGGGGCGAAAGACUAAUC